This 514-nucleotide ribosomal RNA is filed under the name uncultured bacterium. RNAcentral's name for it is "bacterial SSU rRNA". It matches the Rfam family "Bacterial small subunit ribosomal RNA", at positions 8 to 518 of the family's 1533-position model. The record is from RNAcentral.
AGAGUUUGAUCAUGGCUCAGGAUGAACGCUAGCGGCAGGCCUAAUACAUGCAAGUCGUACGGGAGGGUCCCUUCGGGGUCCCGAGAGUGGCGGACGGGUGCGUAACGCGUAUGCAACCACCCCCGUCAGCCGGACAGCCGCUGGAAACGGCGGGUAAUACGGCAUGCGCCCCGCGGGGGGCAUCCCCCUGCGUGGCAAAGCGGAGACGCGGACGGGGACGGGCAUGCGUGCCAUUAGCUUGUUGGCGGGGCGACGGCCCACCAAGGCGACGAUGGCUAGGGGAUCUGAGAGGACGGUCCCCCACACUGGUACUGAGACACGGACCAGACUCCUGCGGGAGGCAGCAGUAAGGGAUAUUGGUCAAUGGGCGGGAGCCUGAACCAGCCAUGCCGCGUGAGGGAAUUAGGCCUUACAGGUCGUGAACCUCUUUUGCCUGGGGACAACCGCGCCGUCGGGAACGGCGCUUGAGGGUACCGGGCGAAUAAGCGCCGGCUAACUCCGUGCCAGCCGCAGC